GACGAACGCUGGCGGCGUGCUUAACACAUGCAAGUCGAACGGUGAAGCGCCUUCCUUUUUGGUGGGUGUGGAUGAGUGGCGAACGGGUGAGUAACACGUGAGUAACCUGCCCCCUUCUUCUGGAUAACCGCAUGAAAGUGUGGCUAAUACGGGAUAUUCUGGGUCUGUCGCAUGAUGGGUCUGGGAAAGAUAUUGUUUCGGUGGGGGAUGGGCUCGCGGCCUAUCAGCUUGUUGGUGGGGUGAUGGCCUACCAAGGCGGUGACGGGUAGCCGGCCUGAGAGGGUGGACGGUCACACUGGGACUGAGACACGGCCCAGACUCCUACGGGAGGCAGCAGUGGGGAAUAUUGCACAAUGGGCGCAAGCCUGAUGCAGCGACGCCGCGUGGGGGAUGGAGGCCUUCGGGUUGUGAACCUCUUUCGCCAGUGAAGCAGGCCUGCCGCGUUUGUGGGUGGGUUGACGGUAGCUGGAUAAGAAGCGCCGGCUAACUACGUG
This 494-nucleotide ribosomal RNA is filed under the name uncultured bacterium. RNAcentral describes it as "partial 16S ribosomal RNA". It matches the Rfam family "Bacterial small subunit ribosomal RNA", at positions 28 to 507 of the family's 1533-position model. The record is from RNAcentral.